CGAGCAGUGGCUCAGUGAUAGAGCUUUCGUCUUAUAUGGGGAAAUACUUGGGUUGGAUUCCCGGCUGCUUAC
Toxocara canis (dog roundworm) is the source of this 72-nucleotide transfer RNA. It matches the Rfam family "tRNA". Rfam says of the family: Transfer RNA (tRNA) molecules are approximately 80 nucleotides in length. Their secondary structure includes four short double-helical elements and three loops (D, anti-codon, and T loops). The record is from Rfam. NCBI's taxonomy places the organism in Eukaryota, Metazoa, Nematoda, Chromadorea, Rhabditida, Toxocaridae.